ACGGAAGGCAGCAGUGAGGAAUAUUGGUCAAUGGGCGAGAGCCUGAACCAGCCAAGUAGCGUGAAGGAUGACGGCCCUACGGGUUGUAAACUUCUUUUGCCGGGGGAUAAAAAACGGGACGCGUCCCGUCUUGCAGGUACCCGUGCGAAUAAGGACCGGCUAAUUCCGUGCCAGCAGCCGCGGUAAUACGGAAGGUCCGAGCGUUAUCCGGAUUUAUUGGGUUUAAAGGGAGCGCAGGCGGCCUGUUAAGCGUGUGGUGAAAUGUAGUCGCUCAACGUCUGCACUGCCACGCGAACUGGCGGGCUUGGGUGCGGUGAACGCUGGCGGAAUUCGUGGUGUAGCGGUGAAAUGCUUAGAUAUCACGAAGAACUCCGAUUGCGAAGGCAGCUGGCGGUACCGUUACCGACGCUCAUGCUCGAAAGUGUGGGUAUCGAACAGGAUUAGAUACCCUGGUA
RNAcentral lists this ribosomal RNA (455 nucleotides) under uncultured bacterium. RNAcentral describes it as "partial 16S ribosomal RNA". It matches the Rfam family "Bacterial small subunit ribosomal RNA", at positions 341 to 792 of the family's 1533-position model. The record is from RNAcentral.